GGAAAUGUGCCUGAGUAUUUAAGGGUUACUUUGAUAGAGUAAACCACAGGGACUAAACCCCCUCAUUUCCU
RNAcentral lists this transfer RNA (71 nucleotides) under Oplurus cuvieri. RNAcentral's name for it is "tRNA-Ile". The record is from RNAcentral. Lineage: Eukaryota; Metazoa; Chordata; Lepidosauria; Squamata.